Molecule: long non-coding RNA, 420 nt
Organism: Anastrepha obliqua
Lineage: Eukaryota; Metazoa; Arthropoda; Insecta; Diptera; Tephritidae
Exons: 2
Source: RefSeq, a predicted model, not a curated record
UUCUGAAAGUUUGAGGAAAAUUUGAGAGCAGCAAAAGCAAACACUUAUUUUGUGUUUUUUCUUGGGUUAUUACUGAAACAGUUACAAUAAACUAUAAGCUCUGAAAAAUUUCAAUUAAAGGAGAUAUCUAAGCGAUAUAUAUCCGAUAAGAGGGAAUAAAGAAACUUAAAUGCCGAGCGAAAGAAAAAGAAGUGCAACAAUGAGCCGCGCUGGCAACAAUCAAGUUUAGAAAAUACAAAAAGCAUUUGGUUUAUCAUGAUGACAUCAAAUAAUGGCAUUGCGUGGAGGUGAAUGUCAAGUUGAGAGAAAAAGGCCAAUCCAGUUAGUUUCUUAAAAACAUUGUACUUACUGUAAAUUAAUAAUGGAGCUAACGGUUUAUUAUGCUAUUAAUGAAACGAAAUACAAAUGAUCGUAAAUGCA